Molecule: ribosomal RNA, 465 nt
Filed under: uncultured bacterium
Lineage: Bacteria
Description: partial 16S ribosomal RNA
Rfam family: Bacterial small subunit ribosomal RNA
Source: RNAcentral
GAUGAACGCUGGCGGCGUGCUUAACACAUGCAAGUCGAACGGAAAGGCUCCUGCUUGCAGGGGUACUCGAGUGGCGAACGGGUGAGUAACACGUGGGUGAUCUGCCCUGCACUUCGGGAUAAGCCUGGGAAACUGGGUCUAAUACCGGAUAGGACGAUGGUUUGGAUGCCAUUGUGGAAAGUUUUUCGGUGUGGGAUGAGCUCGCGGCCUAUCAGCUUGUUGGUGGGGUAAUGGCCUACCAAGGCGUCGACGGGUAGCCGGCCUGAGAGGGUGUACGGCCACAUUGGGACUGAGAUACGGCCCUGACUCCUACGGGAGGCAGCAGUGGGGAAUAUUGCACAAUGGGCGCAAGCCUGAUGCAGCGACGCCGCGUGGGGGAUGACGGCCUUCGGGUUGUAAACUCCUUUCGCUAGGGACGAAGCGCAAGUGACGGUACCUGGAGAAGAAGCACCGGCUAACUACGUG